CCUACGGGAGGCAGCAGUAGGGAAUAUUGCUCAAUGGGGGAAACCCUGAAGCAGCAACGCCGCGUGGGGGAUGAAGGUUUUCGGAUUGUAAACUCCUUUUGUUAGAGAAGAUAAUUACGGUAUCUACCGACUAAGCACCGGCUACCUCCGUGCCAGCAGCCGCGGUAAUACGGAGGGUGCAAGCGUUACUCGGAGUCACUGGGUGUAAAGGGCGCGUAGGCGGGAUAGCAAGUCAGAUGUGAAAUCCUAGGGCUUAACCAUAGAACUGCAUUUGAAACUGUUAGUCUAGAGUACGGGAGAGGUAGGUGGAAUUCUUGGUGUAGGGGUAAAAGCCGUAGAGAUUAAGAGGAAUACUCAUGGCGAAGGCGACCUGCUAGAACAUAACUGACGCUGAUGCGCGAAAGCGUGGGGAGCAAACAGGAUUAGAUACCCUUGUAGUC
This 440-nucleotide ribosomal RNA is filed under the name uncultured bacterium. Its description in RNAcentral is "partial 16S ribosomal RNA". It matches the Rfam family "Bacterial small subunit ribosomal RNA", at positions 338 to 795 of the family's 1533-position model. The record is from RNAcentral.